GAGUUUGAUCGUGGCUCAGAUUGAACGCUGGCGGCAUGCCUUACACAUGCAAGUCGAACGGCAGCAUGAUCUAGCUUGCUAGAUUGAUGGCGAGUGGCGAACGGGUGAGUAAUACAUCGGAACGUGCCCUGUAGUGGGGGAUAACUAGUCGAAAGAUUAGCUAAUACCGCAUACGACCUGAGGGUGAAAGUGGGGGACCGCAAGGCCUCAUGCUAUAGGAGCGGCCGAUGUCUGAUUAGCUAGUUGGUGGGGUAAAGGCCCACCAAGGCGACGAUCAGUAGCUGGUCUGAGAGGACGAUCAGCCACACUGGGACUGAGACACGGCCCAGACUCCUACGGGAGGCAGCAGUGGGGAAUUUUGGACAAUGGGGGCAACCCUGAUCCAGCAAUGCCGCGUGUGUGAGAAGGCCUCGGUGUAG
Molecule: ribosomal RNA, 419 nt
Filed under: uncultured microorganism
Description: bacterial SSU rRNA
Rfam family: Bacterial small subunit ribosomal RNA
Source: RNAcentral